CCUACGGGAGGCAGCAGUGAGGAAUAUUGGUCAAUGGGCGAGAGCCUGAACCAGCCAAGUCGCGUGAGGGAGUACUGCCCUAUGGGUUGUAAACCUCUUUUGUCGGGGAGCAAAAGCCGGCCGUGUCCGGCUGUGAGAGUACCCGCAGAAAAAGCAUCGGCUAACUCCGUGCCAGCAGCCGCGGUAAUACGUAGGUGGCAAGCGUUGUCCGGAUUUACUGGGUGUAAAGGGCGUGCAGCCGGAGAGACAAGUCAGAUGUGAAAUCCGCAGGCUCAACCUGCGAACUGCAUUUGAAACUGUUGCCCUUGAGUAUCGGAGAGGUCAUCGGAAUUCCUAGUGUAGCGGUGAAAUGCGUAGAUAUUAGGAAGAACACCAGUGGCGAAGGCGGAUGACUGGACGGCAACUGACGGUGAGGCGCGAAAGCGUGGGGAGCAAACAGGAUUAGAUACCCCGGUAGUC
Molecule: ribosomal RNA, 459 nt
Filed under: uncultured bacterium
Lineage: Bacteria
Description: partial 16S ribosomal RNA
Rfam family: Bacterial small subunit ribosomal RNA
Source: RNAcentral